UGAAGUCAUUGGUUAUUGGCCUA
This 23-nucleotide non-coding RNA is filed under the name Arabidopsis thaliana (thale cress). The record is from RNAcentral. Lineage: Eukaryota; Viridiplantae; Streptophyta; Magnoliopsida; Brassicales; Brassicaceae.